UACGGAGGGUGCAAGCGUUAUCCGGAAUCACUGGGUUUAAAGGGUGCGUAGGCGGUUUGAUAAGUCAGUUGUGAAAUUCCCCGGCUUAACCGGGUGGACUGCGAUUGAUACUGUUGAACUUGAAUCAGGUUGAGGUCGGCGGAAUGUGACAUGUAGCGGUGAAAUGCUUAGAUAUGUCAUAGAACACCGAUUGCGAAGGCAGCUGGCUAGACCUGCAUUGACGCUGAGGCACGAAAGCGUGGGGAGCAAACAGG
RNAcentral lists this ribosomal RNA (254 nucleotides) under uncultured bacterium. Its description in RNAcentral is "partial 16S ribosomal RNA". It matches the Rfam family "Bacterial small subunit ribosomal RNA", at positions 524 to 776 of the family's 1533-position model. The record is from RNAcentral.